GCACAGCCUUCUGCUGACGCUGCUUCUGCCCAGAGGGCGCCGCAGGAGGGGCCGCUCACAGGAUGUCCCUCCCGGAGGGGCUCCUGGAGGACUGCCGUCCCGGGUCCCACCCUUGGCCAUGAAUUGACACCUUGGAAGGCAGGUCGGGGGUCGGAGGCCUCAACAGCCUGGACUCGGACUCCUGGGCAGGUUGGAGGAGCCCUUCCUCGCUGCACCCUAAGAAGCCUCCACUCCCGCCUUCAGGAACUCGCUUGCUGGACGCACAGCUAACCCUGGCCCUGGGGCUAGGCUCCCGAGAGCCCGCGCAGGAAGACAGCCCAUAGGUGGCCCAGCCCCCUAAACCUCAGGCCUUUGCCUGCGGAGGGGUCCAGGAGAGCUCCCUGCAGUGCAGUGCCCCAGAAGAGCGUGUCCUUAAACUGACUCCGCCCUGUGGGUGUGGCCCAGCGGGAGAGGCAGGUCUUGAGCCCAUUCCUGAAGGAGGAAAGCCCCGGGAGCAGCUGCUCCUGGAAGUCAGCAGACCCGGAAGACCAGGGAGAAGACGCCGCCACACGUGCUGCCACGUUGACAGAAAAGUCAAAGACCGAGGCUCACGGGCAACCAGCCCCAGAGCGCCACAGGCUUCAGGAGAAAGCGGCGCCUUGCUGAGCCUUGGUCUUGGGCUUCUCCCGGCCUCAAAACCGUGAGCUGAUAAAUUCUCACUGUUUCAGCCGAGCCACUGCAGGUAUCUGUUUUAGCACUUAGGAAACUAAGACAAGAAUAAACUCAGAAAAUUCAAACUCCAAGAUACUUGUGCCUGAUGGAAUUCAAUCACCCUGACACCAGACUGUACCCAAGCACCCCAAAUACAGAUGCAGCCUUAGCUUGAGCGUAUGGCGGUCAGUGAAGUCGUGGAUAGCAUUCCUCACACACACAUUCUGUUUCCAUGUAAUUAAACUGGAUUCCAUUUUUAAACAUGUAUCAUGUCAAAUAAAUGUGGU
Long non-coding RNA from Choloepus didactylus (southern two-toed sloth), 977 nucleotides. RefSeq lists it as uncharacterized. The record is from RefSeq and is a predicted model, not a curated record. The transcript is spliced from 3 exons. Lineage: Eukaryota; Metazoa; Chordata; Mammalia; Pilosa; Megalonychidae.